CAGCAGCCGCGGGAAUACGAAGGGUGCAAGCGUUAAUCGGAAUUACUGGGCGUAAAGCGCGCGUAGGUGGUUCAUUAAGUUGGAUGUGAAAGCCCUGGGCUCAACCUGGGAACUGCAUCCAAAACUGGUGAGCUAGAGUACGGUAGAGGGUAGUGGAAUUUCCUGUGUAGCGGUGAAAUGCGUAGAUAUAGGAAGGAACACCAGUGGCGAAGGCGACUACCUGGACUGAUACUGACACUGAGGUGCGAAAGCGUGGGGAGCAAAUAGGAUUAGAUACCCCGGUAGUCCCUGUCUCUUAUAC
RNAcentral lists this ribosomal RNA (301 nucleotides) under uncultured bacterium. Its description in RNAcentral is "partial 16S ribosomal RNA". It matches the Rfam family "Bacterial small subunit ribosomal RNA", at positions 509 to 807 of the family's 1533-position model. The record is from RNAcentral.